Molecule: ribosomal RNA, 439 nt
Filed under: uncultured bacterium
Lineage: Bacteria
Description: partial 16S ribosomal RNA
Rfam family: Bacterial small subunit ribosomal RNA
Source: RNAcentral
CUACGGGACGCUGCAGUGGGGAAUAUUGGACAAUGGGGGAAACCCUGAUCCAGCAAUUCCGCGUGGAUGAUGAAGGGUUUAGGCUCGUAGAGUCCUUUUAGUUGGGAAGAUAGUGACGGUACCAACAGAAAAAGCACCGGCUAAUUACGUGCCAGCAGCCGCGGUAAGACGUAAGGUGCAAGCGUUAUCCGGAAUUACUAGGCGUAAAGGGCAUCUAGGCGGCUAUGUAAGUCAGAGGUGAAAAGUCUGGGCUCAACCGAGGCCUUGCCUUUGAUACUGCAUAGCUAGAGUACGGGAGAGGAGGGCGGAACUACAAGUGUAGAGGUGAAAUUCGUAGAUAUUUGUAGGAAUGCCGAUUACGAAGGUAGCUCUCUGGACCGAUACUGACGCUGAAGUGCGAAAGCUAGGGGAGCGAACAGGAUUAGAUACCCCAGUAGUC